RNAcentral lists this ribosomal RNA (279 nucleotides) under Desmophyllum dianthus. RNAcentral's name for it is "partial 16S ribosomal RNA". It matches the Rfam family "Bacterial large subunit ribosomal RNA", at positions 2003 to 2454 of the family's 2925-position model. The record is from RNAcentral. Lineage: Eukaryota; Metazoa; Cnidaria; Anthozoa; Scleractinia; Caryophylliidae.
CACGAAAGUUCUUCUGUUUUAAAAAAACACUCAAGGAAUUUGAAUUUGUAGUGAAGAUGCUACAUUAAAAUUGUUAGACGAGAAGUCCCCAUGGAGCUUUACUGAAAGCCUAAAAAAAAUUUUUUAUUUAUUUAUAGGUUAGACAGUUUUGUUGGGGUGAUAGUUUUUUAAAAAGUAACGAAAACGAACUAUGACGCAUGUUUCACUCUGAAAACUUGAAGAGACAUUUGGGGUGUGUUUUAUGAUCUAUUGUUUUGAAUGAAAAAGAUAAUGAAAGCA